GAUGAACGCUGGCGGCGUGCCUAAUACAUGCAAGUCGAGCGAACAGACGAGGAGCUUGCUCCUCUGACGUUAGCGGCGGACGGGUGAGUAACACGUGGAUAACCUACCUAUAAGACUGGGAUAACUUCGGGAAACCGGAGCUAAUACCGGAUAAUAUAUUGAACCGCAUGGUUCAAUAGUGAAAGACGGUUUUGCUGUCACUUAUAGAUGGAUCCGCGCCGCAUUAGCUAGUUGGUAAGGUAACGGCUUACCAAGGCAACGAUGCGUAGCCGACCUGAGAGGGUGAUAGGCCACACUGGAACUGAGACACGGUCAAGACUCCUAAGGGAGGCAGCAGUAGGGAAUCUUCCGCAAUGGGCGAAAGCCUGACGGAGCAACGCCGCGUGAGUGAUGAAGGUCUUCGGAUCGUAAAACUCUGUUAUUAGGGAAGAACAAAUGUGUAAGUAACUAUGCACGUCUUGACGGUACCUAAUCAGAAAGCCACGGCUAACUACGUG
This 497-nucleotide ribosomal RNA is filed under the name uncultured bacterium. RNAcentral describes it as "partial 16S ribosomal RNA". It matches the Rfam family "Bacterial small subunit ribosomal RNA", at positions 28 to 507 of the family's 1533-position model. The record is from RNAcentral.